UCGAUAGCUUAAUUGGUAGAGCGCUUGGCUGUUAACCAAGAGGUUGUGGGUUCGACUCCCACUCGA
Molecule: transfer RNA, 66 nt
Filed under: Genlisea aurea
Lineage: Eukaryota; Viridiplantae; Streptophyta; Magnoliopsida; Lamiales; Lentibulariaceae
Rfam family: tRNA
About the family: Transfer RNA (tRNA) molecules are approximately 80 nucleotides in length. Their secondary structure includes four short double-helical elements and three loops (D, anti-codon, and T loops). Further hydrogen bonds mediate the characteristic L-shaped molecular structure. tRNAs have two regions of fundamental functional importance: the anti-codon, which is responsible for specific mRNA codon recognition, and the 3' end, to which the tRNAs corresponding amino acid is attached (by aminoacyl-tRNA synthetases). tRNAs cope with the degeneracy of the genetic code in two manners: having more than one tRNA (with a specific anti-codon) for a particular amino acid; and 'wobble' base-pairing, i.e. permitting non-standard base-pairing at the 3rd anti-codon position.
Source: Rfam by way of RNAcentral